This 1214-nucleotide ribosomal RNA is filed under the name uncultured bacterium. RNAcentral's name for it is "partial 16S ribosomal RNA". It matches the Rfam family "Bacterial small subunit ribosomal RNA", at positions 173 to 1366 of the family's 1533-position model. The record is from RNAcentral.
GAAUCGGCGGCGACCUCCGCCGUUGGGAGAGAACCUGGAAAGAGCGGAAGACAAUUCCUUCAUUGGGAGUGGACUUGCGGCGGCAUUAGCUAGUGGGUGGGGUACGCCCACCCAAGGGCGACGAUGGCGUAGCGACUGAGGAGGGGUGAUCGGCCACCAUUGGGACUGAGACACGGCCCAGACUCUACGGGAGGCAGCAGUAGGGAAUCUCGCAAUGGGCGAAAGCCUGACGGAGCAAUGCCGCGUGAGUGAUGAAGGUUUCGGAUCGUAAAGCUCUGUUGCCAGGGAAGAACGCUUGGGAGAGUAACUGCUCUCAAGGUGACGGUACCUGAGAAGAAAGCCCCGGCUAACUACGUGCCAGUAGCCGCGGUAAUACGUAGGGGGCAAGCGUUGUCCGGAAUUAUUGGGCGUAAAGCGCGCGCAGGCGGUCAUUUAAGUCUGGUGUUUAAUCCCGGGGCUCAACCCCGGAUCGCACUGGAAACUGGGUGACUUGAGUGCAGAAGAGGAGAGUGGAAUUCCACGUGUAGCGGUGAAAUGCGUAGAUAUGUGGAGGAACACCAGUGGCGAAGGCGACUCUCUGGGCUGUAACUGACGCUGAGGCGCGAAAGCGUGGGGAGCAAACAGGAUUAGAUACCCUGGUAGUCCACGCCGUAAACGAUGAGUGCUAGGUGUCAGGGGUUUCGAUACCCUUGGUGCCGAAGUUAACACAUUAAGCACUCCGCCUGGGGAGUACGGUCGCAAGACUGAAACUCAAAGGAAUUGACGGGGACCCGCACAAGCAGUGGAGUAUGUGGUUUAAUUCGAAGCAACGCGAAGAACCUUACCAGGUCUUGACAUCCCUCUGAUCGAUGCAGAGAUGUAUCUUUCCUUCGGGACAGAGGAGACAGGUGGUGCAUGGUUGUCGUCAGCUCGUGUCGUGAGAUGUUGGGUUAAGUCCCGCAACGAGCGCAACCCUUAUAUUUAGUUGCCAGCAUUUAGUUGGGCACUCUAAGGUGACUGCCGGUGACAAACCGGAGGAAGGUGGGGAUGACGUCAAAUCAUCAUGCCCCUUAUGACCUGGGCUACACACGUGCUACAAUGGAUGGUACAAAGGGCUGCGAGACCGCGAGGUCAAGCCAAUCCCAUAAAACCAUUCUCAGUUCGGAUUGUAGGCUGCAACUCGCCUACAUGAAGCUGGAAUCGCUAGUAAUCGCGGAUCAGCAUGCCGCGAUGUA